RNAcentral lists this long non-coding RNA (268 nucleotides) under Nicotiana benthamiana. Its description in RNAcentral is "long non-coding RNA (NBEN_LNC007692)". The record is from RNAcentral. Lineage: Eukaryota; Viridiplantae; Streptophyta; Magnoliopsida; Solanales; Solanaceae.
UGGAGCCCCAUUACCACAGGAAAAUGGUCUGAUUCGCCACCCACCGUCCUAACCCUAGUCUUAGCUCCAUUGUACAUGUCCUUAAUUACUCUGAUAUAGGCUUCUGGCACACUCUUCGCCUCCAAGUACCUCCAUAGCACCUUCCUCGGGACCUUGUCAUACGCCUUUUCCAAGUCGAUAAGCACCAUAUGAAGGUCCUUCUUCUUAUCCCUAAAUUGUUCCACCAGCCGCCUGACUAGGUGAAUAGCCUCUUUGGUGGAGCGGCCCG